AGAUUGAACGCUGGCGGCAGGCCUAACACAUGCAAGUCGAGCGGAAACGAGUUAUCUGAACCUUCGGGGAAGGAUAACGGCGUCGAGCGGCGGACGGGUGAGUAAUGCCUAGGAAAUUGCCCUGAUGUGGGGGAUAACCAUUGGAAACGAUGGCUAAUACCGCAUGAUGCCUACGGGCCAAAGAGGGGGACCUUCGGGCCUCUCGCGUCAGGAUAUGCCUAGGUGGGAUUAGCUAGUUGGUGAGGUAAGGGCUCACCAAGGCGACGAUCCCUAGCUGGUCUGAGAGGAUGAUCAGCCACACUGGAACUGAGACACGGUCCAGACUCCUACGGGAGGCAGCAGUGGGGAAUAUUGCACAAUGGGCGCAAGCCUGAUGCAGCCAUGCCGCGUGUGUGAAGAAGGCCUUCGGGUUGUAAAGCACUUUCAGUCGUGAGGAAGGUAGUGUAGUUAAUAGCUGCAUUAUUUGACGUUAGCGACAGAAGAAGCACCGGCUAACUCCGUGCCAGCAGCCGCGGUAAUACGAGGGUGCGAGCGUUAAUCGGAAUUACUGGGCGUAAAGCGCAUGCAGUGGUUUGUUAAGUCAGAUGUGAAAGCCCGGGCUCACCUCGGAAUUGCAUUUGAAACUGGCAGACUAGAGUACUGUAGAGGGGG
Molecule: ribosomal RNA, 651 nt
Filed under: Vibrio parahaemolyticus AN-5034
Lineage: Bacteria; Pseudomonadati; Pseudomonadota; Gammaproteobacteria; Vibrionales; Vibrionaceae
Description: bacterial SSU rRNA
Rfam family: Bacterial small subunit ribosomal RNA
Source: RNAcentral